CCCAAUUGGUGAAGAUUUGACGAAAUUAAAUAUUUAAUUAUAUAUUAUUACGUACACCCUAACAGGCUCUCCUCAUUCUAUUAUAUAAACAUGAACGUAUGGCUACAGAAAAAUUAAUAAUUCAUUCAGAAAAAAAAAAUCUGUGCUGCUCUAUAAAAUUAUAAACCAGUAGUUUUUAUCAUAAUAUUCUCACGUAUUUAUUAAGUUUCUAGCAAAUUCAUAUAUGGAUAACCACACUUCGUUCAACCCAAGAGAGACAGCCGGGAAGAUCAUCACUUGCAAUGGUAAGAAUAUUUCAAUGGUAUAUGCUCACUACGUAGCUCUCUUAUUUUGUUUGAUAAGCAAAGUGUGGUCUGUGCUGAAGCUGCCGUCGUGAGGGGUCCAAAACAACCUUUUGUCCUGGAAAGGAUUCAAGUUGACCCCCCCAAGAAGAUGGAGGUCCGAAUCAAGAUCCUCUAUACUUCUAUUUGUCAUACUGAUCUCAGCUGUUGGAAAGGCGAGAAUGAAGCUCAGCGAGCAUUUCCGCGAAUACUAGGCCAUGAAGCUGUCGGGUAAGUCCUGUAUAUAUAAUUUCCAUGAACGAAUUGCUUAAUGCUUCAUUAUAUUAUCAUAUUUUUCUCCUUGGAUAUGGAUAUGGAUAUGGAUAUUGCAGAGUGGUUGAGAGCGUAGGAGAAGGGGUCACUGACGUGAAAGAAGGAGAUCACGUGAUCCCAAUCUUUAAUGGAGAAUGCGGUGAUUGCAUCUACUGCCAAAAAGGAACGACUAAUCUGUGCGGAAAAUUUAGAGUAAACCCACUCAAGAGCGUAAUGGCAAAUGAUGGAAAGUGUAGGUUUUCAAGCAAGGAUGGGGAACCCAUAUAUCAUUUUCUCAACACCUCCACUUUCACAGAGUACUCGGUGCUUGACUCGGCUUGUGUUGUGAAGAUUGAUCCUAAAUCCCCACUGAAGAAGAUGAGCUUGUUAAGCUGUGGUGUGUCUACAGGGGUGGGAGCUGCAUGGAAGGCUGCUGAUGUACAGGCUGGAUCAAGCGUGGCAGUUUUCGGAUUGGGUACCUUAGGACUCGCUGCAGCUGAAGGAGCACGAGCCAGAGGAGCAUCGAAAAUCAUAGGUGUUGACAUCAACCCAGACAAAUUCGACAAAGGCAGAACCAUUGGAAUUACAGAUUUUGUAAAUCCCAAGGAUAGCUCAAAGCCGGUGCAUGAGAGAAUCAGGGAAAUGAGUGGUGGAGGCGUAGACUACAGCUUCGAAUGCGUAGGAAACUUGGAAAUUCUUCGAGAAGCUUUCUUGUCCACUCACGAUGGCUGGGGAAAGACGGUGUUAGUGGGAAUUUAUCCAAGUCCGAAAUUGUUGCCUAUCCAUCCAAUGGAGUUGUUUGAUGGUCGGACCAUCACCGGAACAAUCUUCGGCGACGUCAAAGGAAAGACCCAGCUGCCUGAUCUUGCCAGAGAUUGCCUGCAAGGGGUUGUAAAUCUAGAUGGGUUUAUAACGCAUGAACUUCCCUUCCACAAGAUAAACGAAGCCUUUGGGCUUCUCACGGAUGGCAAGGCCUUAAGAUGUCUUCUACACCUUUGAUUGUUUUCCUAGCAAUAUUUUAUAUAUUGUAUUUCAAUUAAACAAUAUCUUAUUUACAAGUGCGCUGCACGAUUUAAUUGUAUUGAAAAGGAACUUUUAAAGAAA
RNAcentral lists this unclassified non-coding RNA (1676 nucleotides) under Hevea brasiliensis (rubber tree). The record is from RNAcentral. Lineage: Eukaryota; Viridiplantae; Streptophyta; Magnoliopsida; Malpighiales; Euphorbiaceae.